This is a non-coding RNA of Myodes glareolus (Bank vole), 1993 nucleotides long. Lineage: Eukaryota; Metazoa; Chordata; Mammalia; Rodentia; Cricetidae. The record is from RefSeq and is a predicted model, not a curated record.
UGAACUCGGGACCUCUGGAAAGAGUAGUCAGUGCUCUGAGCCAUCUCUCCAGCCCUAGAAUCUGUAUUUAUGCCAGGCAAAAUGGCACACACCUUCUAUCUCAACACUUGGGAGGUAGAGUAGCAGGAGAAUCAGAGAAGUUCAGUGUCACCUUCAGCUCUGUCAUGAGUUCAAGGCCAGCCUGGAUCAUAUGAGAUUCACUCUCAAAAAAACAAAGCAGUUCAUAUAAUGUAAAACAAUGCACCAGACACUACCCUAAAGUCAUUCUUUUCAGGGCUCCAUGGAAAGCCUGCCUAGCUGCUUAGACCAGAGCAAUAAAUAAACAAACAAAUAUCACACCAAAUGACAAAACCAAGUUCUCCAAGUUCUCCAUCCUGUUACUUCGUUACACUUAUCAGCAACCACAAAAUGAUGUAAUUACCCCCUUCCAAACAGAAUAGCUUUUAAUUUCUAAGAGUCAUAUCUAAAUUACCGAGCAUGCCUAAAUACAGAAUGCUGUCCUAGAAUUAUCUGUUAGAUUGACUGACAGCCAUAAAACUAAAAGAGAAGAACGAGCAUUCAUUAAGCAGAGAGAGCUGUCUUGCUGUGACUGUAGAAUUCAGCAGUGGGCCUCCUGAAGGACAGGCUCUCUGGAAGAGGCGGUGACACUCUUCUGUGGCCAGACGGUAUCGACAGGUCUCUGCUCUCCAGAGUAGGAUCUGAACUGAGGAGUCUUGCGGUCAUCUGAGAGGGAGGGUGAGGAGAGGGGGGUGCAGUGGCCAAGUCUGGCGGCAGGUGAAGGAGGUCAGUACGUGUGGCGAGCCUCAGGUGGUCAAGAGAGAUGCCAGACCUUGAACUUCUGGUUGGAGUGGUUCCCCGGGGGCUAUGGAGGAGAAUGAAACACAAUCCAAAUAGUUAAUAGUUCCUACCCACCGGUUCUCUCUUAGAGGGAGGGGGGAGGAAGAGAGAGAAAGAGAGAGAGGUACACUAAGGUGCUCCCUUAAAGGGUGACAUCAACAGAAUUUUCGCUAGUAUUUUCCACUUUCAAGGAGGCACUGGUGACAUAGAUGGGUGCCACAAUCCCAUCUGUUCCGUUGUCCUUUUCCAAUUCUUCCCACCACGUGCACUUUAAUGCCUCACGGCUCUCCUCUACGUGUCUCAUGGAUCCAUGCCACCUUGUACCCCAUGGUUGAUGGAUAAUAGCUCUUAGGGCUCUAAGCCCAGGUGUCUCACCUCAGAAAUCACUGCCACUGGUAUAAGUGGACUGCAGAUCUUCCACCUGGAUGGCACUGAUGCCGCUGUGGGCAAUAUGGGUGAUUCCUUCGGGACAGAUGGCCUCCAUACUGGGGGUAAUAAAGGCUAAGUAGAGGCAUUAUUGCAGCCUUCCAAACUUGCCCCAUUGUCCAGAGGCAAGGUUCCUCCACCCAGGGACACAUCAGGGCCUCCUUUCUUAACCUGAUGAGCCUUGCUAGCUUUGACAGAUGGCCACUCUUUAUGAAGCACUCAUAGCAGGCAAAUUUCUUCUCACCUGUGCAUGUGUGUUUCUUCAGCUCAUCUGAAUGUGCCAAGGGCUUCCCACAGCAUGGCCAGGAAUACUCAAACAUGCCUUGCCUCUACAUGCCAGCUCCACGUCACUGGAGAUCAUCAGGCUCCUGUAGGCCACUGACCUGGAGAAUCCGGCUUUGAGAACUGGUCCCUGAUUAUCUACUGGUAGCAAACUUUGUCACUUUCGUGUUGCUGAUGGUAGUGGUUGCUGAGUGCCUAUCGACUUUGGUACAAAAGGAGCUGGAACUAGCGUGUGAGGACCGUGAGAUGGCAGAACCAAUGGAAGUCCCUGAGGUGCUGUGGGCUGCUCUCCUGGGAUCCAAAGUUGCUGAUCGUGACCGCCUGAGAACUGGGAGUCUGGGUAGUCAAGGCACCUGCUGAAAUGCUGCUGACAGAGUAGCAAAAUAACGCUUUCUUUCAGGGCCACUGGUCCAUCGGUCACAUAAUAAAGCAGUCUGAGAGCACUUUA